RNAcentral lists this ribosomal RNA (491 nucleotides) under uncultured bacterium. RNAcentral describes it as "bacterial SSU rRNA". It matches the Rfam family "Bacterial small subunit ribosomal RNA", at positions 28 to 526 of the family's 1533-position model. The record is from RNAcentral.
GAUGAACGCUAGCGACAGGCUUAACACAUGCAAGUCGAGGGGCAGCAUGAUUUAACUUCGGUUAAAUUGAUGGCGACCGGUGCACGGGUGCGUAACACGUAUGCAACCUACCUUAUACAGGGGGAUAGCCCAUGGAAACGUGGAUUAAUACCCCAUAGUACUUUAUAUUCGCAUGAAUGUAGGGUUAAAGUCUUCGGAUGGUAUAAGAUGGGCAUGCGUCCCAUUAGAUAGUUGGUGAGGUAACGGCUCACCAAGUCAAUGAUGGGUAGGGGUUCUGAGAGGAAGGUCCCCCACACUGGAACUGAGACACGGUCCAGACUCCUACGGGAGGCAGCAGUGGGGAAUAUUGCACAAUGGGGGAAACCCUGAUGCAGCGACGCCGCGUGAGUGAAGAAGUAUUUCGGUACGUAAAGCUCUAUCAGCAGGGAAGAAAAUGACGGUACCUGACUAAGAAGCCCCGGCUAACUACGUGCCAGCAGCCGCAGUAAGAC